This 197-nucleotide unclassified non-coding RNA is filed under the name plant metagenome. RNAcentral describes it as "partial contains small subunit ribosomal RNA, internal transcribed spacer 1, and 5.8S ribosomal RNA". The record is from RNAcentral.
UCUCCGUUGGUGAACCAGCGGAGGGAUCAUUGCCGAGUUUACAACUCCCAAACCCCUGUGAACAUACCUAUCGUUGCCUCGGCGGUGCCCGCUCCGGCGGCCCGCCAGAGGACCCCCAAACUCUUGUUUUAUACAGUAUCUUCUGAGUAACACGAUUAAAUAAAUCAAAACUUUCAACAACGGAUCUCUUAGUUCUG